CAACGACUCUCGACAACGGAUAUCUCGGCUCUCGCAUCGAUGAAGAACGUAGCGAAAUGCGAUACUUGGUGUGAAUUGCAGAAUCCCGUGAACCAUCGAGUCUUUGAACGCAAGUUGCGCCCGAAGCCACUAGGUUGAGGGCACGUCUGCCUGGGUGUCACGC
This 163-nucleotide ribosomal RNA is filed under the name Kitagawia praeruptora. RNAcentral describes it as "Peucedanum praeruptorum 5.8S ribosomal RNA". It matches the Rfam family "5.8S ribosomal RNA". Rfam says of the family: 5.8S ribosomal RNA (5.8S rRNA) is a component of the large subunit of the eukaryotic ribosome. It is transcribed by RNA polymerase I as part of the 45S precursor that also contains 18S and 28S rRNA. Functionally, it is thought that 5.8S rRNA may be involved in ribosome translocation. Lineage: Eukaryota; Viridiplantae; Streptophyta; Magnoliopsida; Apiales; Apiaceae. The record is from RNAcentral.